RNAcentral lists this ribosomal RNA (374 nucleotides) under uncultured bacterium. Its description in RNAcentral is "bacterial SSU rRNA". It matches the Rfam family "Bacterial small subunit ribosomal RNA", at positions 28 to 365 of the family's 1533-position model. The record is from RNAcentral.
GAUGAACGCUGGCGGCGUGCCUAAUACAUGCAAGUCGAACGCACUCUCGUUUAGAUUGAAGGAGCUUGCUCCUGAUUGAUAAACAUUUGAGUGAGUGGCGGACGGGUGAGUAACACGUGGGUAACCUGCCCUAAAGUGGGGGAUAACAUUUGGAAACAGAUGCUAAUACCGCAUAAAACCUAACACCGCAUGGUGUAGGGUUGAAAGAUGGUUUCGGCUAAUCAACUUUAGGAUGGACCCGCGGUGCAUUAGUUAGUUGGUGAGGUAAAGGCUCACCAAAGACCGUGAUGCAUAGCCGACCUGAGAGGGUAAUCGGCCACACUGGGACUGAGACACGGCCCAGACUCCUACGGGAGGCAGCAGUAGGGAAUCUU